AUGGCUCAGUUGCUGCAAUUGUAAAUAACUUUCUCUGUUUCUUGGCCAUCUCUCAGCAACAAGUCUUCGAGGGGUAAGAACCAAAAAGGAGUUCUGUCGAUCGGUCAUGGCGAUCCCAGAAAAUCUUAUGAAAUUCAGAAUGUGGGCAGUACCUAAAGCAUCCGAAGCUAAAGGUCUAAUGAGGAUGAAAAGCUAAAGCUAGUAUCAGAGGGUUGUGAGCCUAGAUAUAAGGGCACAAAAAGCUUGAAUCCAAGGACAUUCUAGGGGAAGUUUCGAAGACUCAUCAUGCUUUACAUAAAGUCAUGGAUAAAACAGAUGGUUAUACCUUUGGGGUGGUUCUCUUGGAGCUAGUAACAAGCUAAAAGUCAAUUGAAGUGAACAAAAGGCCAGGAGAUGAGAACUUGGUGCUGUGGGUAACUUAUCAUUUAUUCCUUUAUGUCUAACUUUCCUUUUAUUAUUAUUAAGCUACAUAUUUGUUUUAUCAGUGCUCCCCCACUCAUCAUAGUUUUACUUUUAUAUAUAUAUUUUUAUAUAUAUAUUUAUUAGAACAGCUAUUGCUUUCAUUGUGUAAUACUAUCAAAGUCUGGAUAUGAAUCACUUUCACUGAUAUUCAGCUUAGUGGGCACUUGAUUUCUGCAAAAUUUAAGGAAUCAACCAUUAUAAAAACAUUCUGAUUUUGAUUUUAGUUUUUGCUUAUGUAGCACAAAAUGCUUUAUGGAUGAUGCUUGAUAUGCAUUGAAACUUGGGUGUGAGAGAGAGAGAGAGAGAG
This is a long non-coding RNA of Macadamia integrifolia, 769 nucleotides long. RefSeq lists it as uncharacterized. The record is from RefSeq and is a predicted model, not a curated record. NCBI's taxonomy places the organism in Eukaryota, Viridiplantae, Streptophyta, Magnoliopsida, Proteales, Proteaceae. The transcript is spliced from 4 exons.